Molecule: ribosomal RNA, 340 nt
Filed under: uncultured Anaerolineaceae bacterium
Lineage: Bacteria; Bacillati; Chloroflexota; Anaerolineae; Anaerolineales; Anaerolineaceae
Description: bacterial SSU rRNA
Rfam family: Bacterial small subunit ribosomal RNA
Source: RNAcentral
AGCCUAUACAGGUGUUGCAUGGCUGUCGUCAGCUCGUGUCGUGAGAUGUUCGGUUAAGUCCGCUAACGAGCGCAACCCUCGUCGUAUGUUAUAUGUGUCAUACGAGACUGCCGGUAAAAGCCGGAGGAAGGUGAGGAUGAUGUCAAGUCAGCAUGACCUUUAUAUCCAGGGCUACACACACGCUACAAUGGUCUGUACAAUGGGUAGCCAAGCCGCGAGGCGGAGCCAAUCCUGAAAGCAGGCCUCAGUUCAGAUUGCAGUCUGCAACUCGACUGCAUGAAGCCGGAGUUGCUAGUAACCGCAGGUCAGCAAUACUGCGGUGAGUACGUUCCCGGGUCUU